AAUCCAGCGAUCCGAGUUCAAAUCUCGGUGGAACCUACGGUGUUUUUUGUUUUUUUUCCCCCAGAUUCUUUUGAAUGCUGUAACAAUGGGCACGACGCUCUUUUCUCCACUCCAUUGUGAGCUUCUAAAUGAAUACACGCGGCACAAGUCACGCCUCAUGACUUCUUUUGGUUGCAUCUUUUACCCAUCCAAGGCAUGGGCUCCUUCCUCCUGCCGUCAUGGGCCAGUGGCAGCACCCCAGGGGCUUGCUUCCACAGGGAGCAGGCCUCAGAGUGGUCUGCAGCCCCACUAAAAUUGGGGUGGGUUAGCAAAAUCCUCCAGGUCUCACAGCUCUGUCCACACCCAGGGCAAGAGCAGCGUUCAAAGCCAACAGCACUCAAUACGAGGUGUCACUUGUAUAGGAGGUAUCAGCAAGCUCAUUGGGUUCAUGAGGCACGAAACAUGGCCUCGGGGACCAUUGAGAGGUGGCAGCAGGUGAAGCACUGGUUUGAGACAUCUGAAGAGAGCCGAGCAAUGACAAGACAACAUAAGAAGCAGAAGAGAGCUGUUGUUGAAGAUGAAGAUAUUGAGGGACUUUAUGAAACACACAGAUUUGCAGGCAAAAGAUGUGUUUGAUGAAUCUUUUCUCUGAAGCAUCUGGGAAAACACCACAAGAGCUCCAGGCUGCAGACCAGGUGCUAAGAAAGUGUUCAUCUCCUCUAAAUGUUCGUGUUGAAGGUGGCAGAACUGUUUUGGAAAAUGGAUACAAACAUAGAAACUCAAGAGAGUUCUGCCUGCAUGAGGAGUCUGCUGAGGUUAGGAGCUCCUUUAGGCAAGCUCGACCAAACCCUCAGCGAGCUCAGAAAAGGGCAGAAACUUGCUGUGACCUACAUCCAUGGUGACUCACUGGUACAAGAUUUUGAACGUAUUGAAAGUACUGAAAGGAUUGAAAACAUUUUGAAAGAAAGAAUCAUUCUGAAGUGCUAUAGAGUUUCAGAAAAGCAGUAGAGCUGCGUUAUGAGAACAUCAGCUACAAUUUGGGUCAGAUUUUCAGUGCAGAUGUGUUAGAUGCAUUUUCUUGGAAACCCUCCAUGACAGUUAGUGAGAAGAGUGACCCAAUGUUUUUGCGCCGCACAAAACAACUGUUCUAUUUGCUGAUGUCAUUUGCUCAUAUUUCUAAAGCAGUGUCCUGUUGAAGCUUGUUCAGGAGCAGAGUUUUUCUCAUGGAACGGUUUCAGACAGGGAGUGUAAAAAAUCUCCUCGGUGCAUCUUGACAGAUCUCAAUCAGACUUGUCGGUUUUCUGAAUUUUAAUAAUCUAGUUUUAUUUCCAGAUAAUGAUUAUUUAUGCAAAUGAGAUGCCUUAUAAAUAAAUAUGGAAAUGAUUCCACAACAUUAAUUACAGGCCUUAUAGUUUAAAUACUUAAAAAAUUAAAGGCAAAUGGUGACGUGGAUUGUUUCUGAGUUUAUAACUUAGUUAUUUUGGUGGUUUGCUUUAUUUCAA
This is a long non-coding RNA of Cygnus olor (mute swan), 1481 nucleotides long. RefSeq lists it as uncharacterized. The transcript is spliced from 4 exons. The record is from RefSeq and is a predicted model, not a curated record. Lineage: Eukaryota; Metazoa; Chordata; Aves; Anseriformes; Anatidae.